GAUGAACGCUGGCGGCGUGCCUAAUACAUGCAAGUCGAGCGAACAGAUGAGGAGCUUGCUCCUCUGACGUUAGCGGCGGACGGGUGAGUAACACGUGGAUAACCUACCUAUAAGACUGGGAUAACUUCGGGAAACCGGAGCUAAUACCGGAUAAUAUAUUGAACCGCAUGGUUCAAUAGUGAAAGACGGUUUUGCUGUCACUUAUAGAUGGAUCCGCGCCGCAUUAGCUAGUUGGUAAGGUAACGGCUUACCAAGGCAACGAUGCGUAGCCGACCUGAGAGGGUGAUCGGCCACACUGGAACUGAGACACGGCCCAGACUCCUACGGGAGGCAGCAGUAGGGAAUCUUGCGCAAUGGGCGAAAGCCUGACGGAGCCAUGCCGCGUGAGUGAUGAAGGUCUUCGGAUCGUAAACCGCUGUUAUUCGGGAAGAACAACUGUGUAAGUAACUAUGCACGUCUUGACGGUACCUAAUCAGAAAGCAACGGCUAACUACGUG
This 497-nucleotide ribosomal RNA is filed under the name uncultured bacterium. RNAcentral's name for it is "partial 16S ribosomal RNA". It matches the Rfam family "Bacterial small subunit ribosomal RNA", at positions 28 to 507 of the family's 1533-position model. The record is from RNAcentral.